UUUUUUUUAGUGAGAACAACAUUUUAUCAAACCAUAUUUAUAUCUUCAAUAUAAAAAUAAGGAGAUGUGAUAGGAUUUUCAAAGUUAAAAAAAUAAAUGGAUUUAAGCAAUUAUAGUCGGCAAUAACAGGUUCCGACAUGAAAAAUAAGAAUUAAUACACAAACUGACGGCCUAAUUCAUAAUAAAACAAUUUACGAAAAACAUAUAUGACAUACACGAA
Molecule: long non-coding RNA, 220 nt
Filed under: Mytilus galloprovincialis (Mediterranean mussel)
Lineage: Eukaryota; Metazoa; Mollusca; Bivalvia; Mytilida; Mytilidae
Source: RNAcentral